AGUGAACGUUGGCGGCGUGGAUUAGGCAUGCAAGUCGAGCGAGAACCGUAGCAAUACGGGGACAGCGGCGAAAGGGACAGUAAUGUGUAGGUACCUACCCCGAGGUCUGGGAUAGCUGCGGGAAACUGCAGGUAAUACCGGAUAAUGUCUUCGGACCAAAGGUGUGAUUCCACCUUGGGAGGGGCCUGCAUCCUAUUAGCUUGUUGGCGGGGUAACGGCCCACCAAGGCGACGAUGGGUAGCGGGUGUGAGAGCACGACCCGCGUCAUUGGGACUGAGACACUGCCCAGACACCUACGGGUGGCUGCAGUCGAGGAUCUUCGGCAAUGGGCGAAAGCCUGACCGAGCGACGCCGCGUGUGGGAUGAAGGCCCUCGGGUUGUAAACCACUGUCAGAGGAGAGGAAGUGUUGGGGGGAUCACCCCUCAGCUUGACCUAUCCUCAAAGGAAGGACGGGCUAAGUUCGUGCCAGCAGCCGCCGCAG
This 482-nucleotide ribosomal RNA is filed under the name uncultured bacterium. Its description in RNAcentral is "partial 16S ribosomal RNA". It matches the Rfam family "Bacterial small subunit ribosomal RNA", at positions 30 to 523 of the family's 1533-position model. The record is from RNAcentral.